UCUGUCAAAACAAAAUCGAAAUUCUAUAGAUUGGAUUUUUGGAUUUUUUUAAUAAUUAAAUUAUUUAAACUUUUUUGAAUAAAAAUAAUAAGGUUGCUGGAAAUAAAGAUCAUUUUGAUAAACUAGACCGUCUGGCACCGGAUGCAGACGAGUUUCUGAGGUAGGAAAUUGCCAUGGUAUACCGCAGCUGCUUCGAUGGCCAAAAAGCGAAUACAUGUUUGGAUUCGUUUGCUUCCCGGCUCUAGAUAGGAUCUAUAGAGAAGUCUUUAUUUAAGGAAUCGUGUGUCAUGAUGCCAAAGUAGAUGGAUUUGCAUUUUUAAAACGGUCUUUCACUAGUGUCCGAAUCGAAAACAAGGCCCCGGGAAUCGAGAUCGGUGAGCAAGGUAAAAUAAUAUUGCGUCGCAUCCCACGCAGGUUCUCAUCGCGCUGGAAUCGGCAAAGAAGUUUUCCUAAGGGCACCAGGCGCAAAUAGUUAUUUAUCUAUUACAUCCAUUACAUCCAUGAACGAAGGUAUAGAAAAUGUCCAGACGCAGCCGCGGUAAUUUCCUACACCUGCCGGGUUUAUACGUUGUUCAAAAAGUCCUUCCUGAAUCUGGAAAGCUGGUACGAUCGAAGAUUCCAGUCCCUAUGUCGCCCGUCGGUGUGGGUACAGCUUCCGGAAUGUAUUGCCUGGCACGAGAAGCGCAAGGAGGAGUACGUUGUCUGGUGGUAGAAAGAUUACGGUACGGUAUCCUGGACGGACUCUUCGCACCACCAAUGAUCCCAUCGCCAGUUGUUUCAUAUAUGAGAAUGAUUUUUCCGUUAACCUAGCAAUAACGGGUGCUGGUCGGAUAAUACUGUUAGUGUUAAUAUAAAGGAAAAACGUUAAUCUAGAGCUCCGAAGAGAUUGAUCUUGUUCUUAUUUCGAUGACAGAAUAGGAUUAUUUGAAAUCUACUCUUUAAAUACCUUAACAAUCUUUAGCUAAGCUUAGACUGACUGACUGUUCAUAUCAUAUUGGUUGCUACACCGUGAUUAAUCAGAACUGGAGUAAAUUUCACUACGACCCAAGUGAAAACAGGUUUACCACCUAUUCUCGAAGUACACGUUUCAGCAGU
Molecule: long non-coding RNA, 1095 nt
Organism: Armigeres subalbatus
Lineage: Eukaryota; Metazoa; Arthropoda; Insecta; Diptera; Culicidae
Exons: 4
Source: RefSeq, a predicted model, not a curated record